AGUUAGCCCGUCACUUUCGCGGGACCUACUCUUGUGGUCAAUCAGAAGUCGGCCAACGAUUUCAUUCCGUAUCGGCACGUGUCUAGGUCGGUUCUCCCCUCUGCACCCACCGCCUCUCCUCCUCGCGGUGUUCCAUCGCUGAACCCAGCAGACUGGCGGCGGCACCCAGUGUGAGCGGAAAGGCUGGAAGGGGGCGUGGAGGAGAUGGUUCGCCGGCCAGAAGUGGCGCCAGCGCAUCCCGCAGGCGGCGUGGCUCUGGUCGGCCUCCAGGUCAUCGGCCCUCCUCCAUUAUUGGCUCUCUCACGGUCAGAUCGAUUGGUCCAAUUUCUUGGGUGAGCUCCUCCCUUUUAACUUGCAUCAGGGGUCCUUCAGGCGAAAACAAUAGUACUCCAGUUCCGUUUUUGUUUUUCUUCGCGUCCAUCCUCCCUUCCAAAUCCGUUACCCGCAGGUGGAUCCUUUUGAUGAAAAUCUGGAUCGUGAGGCCGGAGACCAAGCAGAGAACUCGCGGCGUAGGUACUCCUUUUCGUCACCCUCCCUCUCAUCUCUUUCACCUACGUGGAGGUACCGCGCCUCGGCCCUUCAGCUCCGCGGUCGACCUCCACCGAUCAGAGGACGGGGGCGACCACCGCCCGAGCCUCCGGUGUCCUAUGCAGGGUGGGUCGCCUUCCCUUAAGCUGCCGCGGCUAACUCUAGGUCGUGUGGCCAGCUCGACGGUGGUGUUGGCCUGGUCCUCGUGCCGGUUAUGACGCCGGGCGAGGUCCUCGAGUAUGCUGGAGACGACGGCCGUGGUUGGUGCUUACAACAAUGGAGGCGGUGCCAGAUUCCCCUGAGUUGCUAUUUGCUAAAGCUGACGGCAAGGAAGUGUUCAGAUCCAUGCAUUUACAAGGUCCAUGGGUUAUGAUUGGCACGAAAUCAGCUCAAUGGGAUCUGCCAUAUAGUUGCAGAACUGAUGUAUAGAGGAAGCAUCUACAGAUCUGUUUUUUCUCUUUAAAUAGUUAUUGUUGUGAUAAUAUAUUUUUGGCAUGCCUCUUUUUUUUUCCAAUUUUUAUUGCAUUAGCGUUGAAUGCUACUGGGUAUGUAACCUCUAGCCACAAUAACUUACCGUUGGUUCCUGAAAUAUCUAGAUUGUCUGGUUAUAGUCUAGAAAUAUCAGGAAACAAUCUCACUUCAUUAUUUUGAAAAAUUGAUACAAGCGUGUUUCACCUCACGGUGUUCUUAUUGUGUAUGGAAAUUAUAGUGAUUUCAGGUAUAUUUGUUGUGUAGAGUUAUUAUGUUAUUUGAAGUCAUUACCUUAAAUACUACAAAGUAGCUCAUAUUCACUAUGAAACAAUUUUACUUAGAAGCUUAUUAUCAUAUCAUGGUUCUUCUCUUAAUGCCACUGCAAUGUUUGUUUCAGGUUACAGACCCUUACCUCCAUUAUAGUUUUAUUAUCCGAUCUUAGGGAGCUGAUGUUGAUAAUUUAUUUGCUUUUACCUUUGAUUAACACAUCAUCUCAUCUUUGCAUUGUGCUAAUAAUUGUUGGACUAGAAUGUAAUUACCACGACACCUCGACAUCUAUGAGCCCACUUCGCUUGGGGCUACCUAGCGCGCUUUAUACGUUGAAACUAUACUCCUAUUAAAAUACAUGUUGAUCGUCAGUGAGGUGUGUCUCUUUUGGUUGCUCCCAAUGCCAGGCACAUUUGCGUCUUGGUUCGCCAGGUCACGGUGUAUUUAAUUAUGUUGAUAUCUUUCUGAGGUGAUUAGUUAUUGUACGCUGCUGGCAUUUGAUCAUAUAUAUGCAUGCUUGAAAGCUAUCAGAGCUAAUGCUUAUUCACCUCUCUGUAUCUAUGUUUUGUUUUCAUUGUUGAUUUUUUGGUUGGCAGUAAGUUGAAAACAAGACUGUGCUUGCUGCAGUAACUUAAGCUUAAAGUACAUGGUUUAAAUCUUCUCUAACACUCUUUUUUCUUAUAUACAAUAGGAGAUGGAUUUAACCCGAGAUUGGAAGUAUUGCAUCAUAUAUAAUUUCAUGAGGUGAAUUCAGUUCUUGCCCGCAUUGCACCAAGUUGAAAUUCAGAUGAACUUACAAAGAAAGGAUAUGUCAUCAAGCUGGGUAGAACAUAGAAGUGUUGUCACGGCAAGCCAAGUAUAUUAGGGUUUGCGGUGACAGACCUGAAAGAGGCAUCACAUCACCUUCUACGCUAUAGGGUUAUAAGGGAGCUCAGGCUCAGGUUAGUAGCUUAAUUAAGAAACAACCGCAGCAAGAAUCUCAUGGCUUGACACUGGGAUAUGAGAUUUUUUUUGUUCUCACAGCAUAUAAAGCGACGGAUCGUUUCUAUAUGGAUUUGUGUUAUAUUUGGAAGUGAUGCUGUGACAUAGCAAUUGCAGGCUGAAGCUGUAACAAUUUUCAGUCUGCAAAAUACUAUUGAUUUUGGUAUUAAGCUGUUGCUAUAGCAUGAGCAUGCCUACUCGAACAACAUGUUUAUUACAUAUCUGUGUAUGCAUAAGAAUUCUUUGGGCUGAGCUCAUUAGAUUAGCUUUCAUGGUGCUUUAGUUUUUUUCUGUAAAAAUCAAUUGCUUAACUUUUUUACUUGCAACAUCAUUGACAGUUUCUUCAGUUGUUAUUCUGAAUUACGAUGUUGCAGAAACCCAAAUUCUGAUUCUAAUUUAAGUUCCAAUACUAACUGGCCUUUUGAACUUCUCAAAUCCUAUAUUAAACAAAUCCACUUUGGUCGCCCCGAAAAAAAAUCCACUUUGGUCAAUAAUGUUCAUCCAAUCUUGACAAAAUCAAGAGAACUAAGUACCACUACAAAUUCAGUUAGAGUAAUCUAUGUGAUUCCUGAAAAAGAUGGCAGUGAAUUAGCUUAAAUUGAGAAUUAAGUUCCGGUACAAGAUAAUUCAGUCUAGAGUAUCCAUAUGCAUGCCUUGAAAGAUCGGAAGAGAGUAAUCUUUAUGCACUUCUUACAAAGAUUGGAUCAAACAUGGCAAUGAAUCAACUUAUACAUCCUUAAUCUAUCUGCCAUACGCAUCCUUCUAACAUUUGGGCGUCAUGUUAUAGAACAAAAUAUGUCUGGUAGCUCUGGGCUUGUGUGCUUAACGAAACAAUGUAAGAUCUUUUUUUUUCAAAGGAAUGUGGUAGGGGAAGCCCCUACAUUGAUAAUUUUUUGAAAAAAUAAGAACCUAAAUCCGCGCUCCUGGGAACUUGAACCUAGGUGAUUGGGUUGUACAUCCACUUCCUUUACCAAGUGAGCUAGACUCAUUUUUUAGGAUUGUUUUUGUUUGUUCUAGAAUCUUAUGAUCCAUUAGAGAAAAAUCCAGAUUAGUUUUAUCUUUUGAAUUGUUUAAUUGCUUGUGCUAUUCCACCACCUAAGUCCGUCGUAAAUAUUACUCUGUCCACACAAACUUUCUGUGUGGUUAUUAGAAUGAGUUCACAUUAUCAGGAAACUGCUAUGUGCUGAUAAGAUAAAUUCAAAUGUCAAGGAAUUUCUCCUGAAGAGUUUAGUGUGAAUCAAAUCAAUUAGUGUACUUGCUAAAGCCUAUUUAAUCAUCUCUCUGAUUUUGAAUAUGGAACUUAUUGCUUUUAGUAUUUUAUUCCUUUUCUUCUGUAACUAUGGGUGGCUUUAAUAAACUAUAGUCACUUGCACAUGAGGGUUCUGUGAAGCUGUACAUUUUUCUGACAUUUGGCAAACAAAAAAAUUAUGCUUCCAAAUAAUAAUUUCAUUUAGGUACUAAUUUCUAUCUUGCUGGGUAAUGGUUGCUCAACAUGCAUGUUUAUUCUCAUUGAAAAUCUGAAGUUAUUCACUGUACUUCAAGUAACUGACGGUAACACACAUUCUGCUCUAUGUAAAAGAGGAGCUUGAAGUUUUGAGCAUCAAUAUACGGGUGAUCUUCUCUUCUAGGCAUAUCAUUAGCCUGUAGGUGUGACUACCCGACAUUUUAGACUUAUCCAUUUAUAUUUCUCAAUCUAUUCUUCUGUAAUAUUUUUGCGUGUAACGAACAUCUGCAGGCAGAGACGAUAGACGUUUAAUGUGCCUUCUAUCUUUCUUGCACUAGACCAUGUAUGUCUUAAAACUUAUGUCAUUACACUGACGGUAUACACAA
Molecule: long non-coding RNA, 4077 nt
Organism: Lolium perenne
Lineage: Eukaryota; Viridiplantae; Streptophyta; Magnoliopsida; Poales; Poaceae
Source: RefSeq, a predicted model, not a curated record